GAUGGACGCUGGCGGCGUGCCUAAUACAUGCAAGUCGAGCGAACAGACGAGGAGCUUGCUCCUUUGACGUUAGCGGCGGACGGGUGAGUAACACGUGGGUAACCUACCUAUAAGACUGGGAUAACUUCGGGAAACCGGAGCUAAUACCGGAUAAUAUUUCGAACCGCAUGGUUCGAUAGUGAAUGAUGGCUCGGCUAACCCUUAUAGAUGGACCUGCGCCGUAGUAGCUAGUUGGUAAGGUAACGGCUUACCAAGGCAACGAUACGUAGCCGACCUGAGAGGGUGAUCGGCCACACUGGAACUGAGACACGGUCCAGACUCCUACGGGAGGCAGCAGUAGGGAAUCUUCCGCAAUGGGCGAAAGCCUGACGGAGCAACGCCGCGUGAGUGAUGAAGGUCUUCGGAUCGUAAAACUCUGUUAUUAGGGAAGAACAAACGUGUAAGUAACUGUGCACGCCUUGACGGUACCUAAUCAGAAAGCCACGGCUAACUACGUGCCAGCCGCCGCGGUAA
RNAcentral lists this ribosomal RNA (513 nucleotides) under uncultured bacterium. Its description in RNAcentral is "partial 16S ribosomal RNA". It matches the Rfam family "Bacterial small subunit ribosomal RNA", at positions 28 to 523 of the family's 1533-position model. The record is from RNAcentral.